AGAGUUUGAUCCUGGCUCAGCCUGAACGCUGGCGGCGUGGCUAAGACAUGCAAGUCGCACGGGCGUAGCAAUACGCCAGUGGCGCACGGGUGAGUAAUGUAUCGCUAACGUACCCUUAGGUUUGGGAUAGCUAACCGAAAGGUUAGGUAAUACCAGAUGACAUACCCUGGCGGCAUCGCCGGGGUCUCAAAGCCGCAAGGCACCUUUGGAGCGGGCGAUAUCGUAUCAGGUAGUUGGUGCGGGUAACGGCCCACCAAGCCGACGACGCGUAGCUGGUCUGAGAGGACGGCCAGCCACAUCGGGACUGAGACACUGCCCGGACUCCUACGGGGGGCUGCAGUAACGAAUCUUCCGCAAUGCACGAAAGUGUGACGGAGCGACGCCGCGUGUGGGACGAAGUCCUUCGGGAUGUAAACCACUGUCAGGGGUUACCAAGUUCUGAGGAACCCCAGAGGAAGGCACGGCUAACUCUGUGCCAGCAGCCGCGGUAAGACAGAGGUGCCGAGCGUUAGGCGGAAUCACUGGGCUUAAAGCGUGUGUAGGCGGCGGCGUAAGUACCUUGUGAAAUCCCACGGCUCAACCGUGGAACUGCUCGGUAUACUGCGUCGCUUGAGCCAGCUAGGGGCAACCGGAACAAACGGUGGAGCGGUGAAAUGCGUAGAUAUCGUUCGGAACGCCGAUGGUGAAAACAGGUUGCUGGGGCUGCGCUGACGCUGAGACACGAAAGCCAGGGGAGCGAACGGGAUUAGAUACCCCGGUAGUCC
This 764-nucleotide ribosomal RNA is filed under the name uncultured bacterium. Its description in RNAcentral is "bacterial SSU rRNA". It matches the Rfam family "Bacterial small subunit ribosomal RNA", at positions 8 to 796 of the family's 1533-position model. The record is from RNAcentral.